CCUACGGGCGGCAGCAGUGGGGAAUCUUGCACAAUGGGGGAAACCCUGAUGCAGCGACGCCGCGUGAGUGAAGAAGUAUCUCGGUACGUAAAGCUCUAUUAGCAGGGAAGAAAAUGAUGGUAACUGACUAAGAAGCCCCGGCUAACUACGUGCCAGCAGCCGCGGUAAUACGUAGGGGGCAAGCGUUAUCCGGAUUUACUGGGUGUAAAGGGAGCGUAGACGGCAGAACAAGUCUGGAGUGAAAGCCCGGGGCUUAACCCCGGAAGGUCUUUGGAAACUGUGCGGCUGGAGUGCAGGAGGGGAAAGCGGAAUUCCUAGUGUAGCGGUGAAAUGCGUAGAUAUUAGGAGGAACACCAGUGGCGAAGGCGGCUUACUGGACUGUAACUGACGUUGAGGCUCGAAAGCGUGGGGAGCAAACAGGAUUAGAUACCCGGGUAGUC
This 440-nucleotide ribosomal RNA is filed under the name uncultured bacterium. Its description in RNAcentral is "partial 16S ribosomal RNA". It matches the Rfam family "Bacterial small subunit ribosomal RNA", at positions 338 to 795 of the family's 1533-position model. The record is from RNAcentral.